UCAUAUAAUUCCAUUUUUAAUUUUUUUAAGAACAUUUAUGCUUUUUUUUUUUUUAACACAGAGUUUCACUCUAUCACCCAGGCUGUAGUGCAGUGGCGCCAUCUCAGCUCACUACAACCUCUGCCUCCUGGGCUCGAGCCUUCUUCCCACUUCAGCCUCCUGAGGACCUGGAACUACAGGGGCACACUGCCACACCCAGCUAACUUUUGUGUUUUUAAUAGAGACAGGGUUUUGCCAUGUUGCUCAGGCUGGUCUCGGACUCCUGGGCUCAAGUGAUCCACCCACCUCGGUCUCCCGAAGUGCUGGGGUUCCAGGUGUGAGCCAGUGUGAACCAGUGUGCCCGGCCUAUGCUAUCUUUCAUCAUGGCUGCAUCCUUUCUUUCCUACCAGCAGGUUACGUGGUUUUCAAUGUCUUCACAUCCUUGACAGCUAUGUCUUCUCAUUUUACCCAAGACCUUCUGCCAGAGCAGGGCAUACAAGAUGCAUUCCCAAAAACAAUACUGAGAGGAUAUGGAAAUUGUGGCCUUGAUAAUUUAUAUUUA
RNAcentral lists this small RNA (541 nucleotides) under Pan troglodytes (chimpanzee). RNAcentral's name for it is "processed transcript". The record is from RNAcentral. Lineage: Eukaryota; Metazoa; Chordata; Mammalia; Primates; Hominidae.